UGAGGAAUUUUGCACAAUGGAGGAAACUCUGAUGCAGCGACGCCGCGUGCGGGAUGAAGGGGCUUUGCCUUGUAAACCCCUUUCGGGUGGGAAAAAAAGUUCCCUCGGGGAACUGGGAUUGUACCACCAAAGGAAGGACCGGCUAACUACGUG
RNAcentral lists this ribosomal RNA (153 nucleotides) under uncultured bacterium. RNAcentral describes it as "partial 16S ribosomal RNA". It matches the Rfam family "Bacterial small subunit ribosomal RNA", at positions 355 to 507 of the family's 1533-position model. The record is from RNAcentral.